Molecule: unclassified non-coding RNA, 348 nt
Filed under: uncultured fungus
Lineage: Eukaryota; Fungi
Description: sequence contains ITS1
Source: RNAcentral
UUUUAUUAGUUUUGCGGUAACUCCAUUGGAAUCGCAAGCGAUAUCCGCCGAAGAUUAUUCGCGGGCUUUGUUUCAAGGUUUGCUAUCAUUCUCCGAGGAGAAAUCCAGCGGGUUUAAAAUUGUUUGAAAGCAUCAAGGUCAGACGAAUGGUCUCUUCGAAAGGCCGGAGCCAGUUUCAGAAGACACAUCCUCGGUAAGUACUAGGCCACAAAGGGCACUAGGUUACCGCCAACACAAGACGGGUGUUUUCGCGGGUCAAACUUCGGUCUCUUCGGCCUAAGCCUCGGAGAACCUCGGUUUUGUUUUUUGGGUGUGGUAAUGAUCCUUCCGCAGGUUCACCUACGGAAA